UGGUCUAUAUAUUAAUUCAGAGAAAGUCUGCUUUAAGAGCUAUGAGAUUUUCCUAUGGCCUCUGCUCUCUAUGGCCUAUCUGAGUUGGACGAAUGACGGAGUAUUUCUGUGCCAAAAAUUCUAUUCCAAAUCAUCACAGGAUUCAGUUUUUUUUUUUUCUUGAGUAUGGGCCUGUGUGAUGUCAAUAAGGGCAGAAUUUCCUUGUACAGGCACUUCUCCCGGAAGGGUGCACGCACACAUCGACCAGAACGAGAGAGCAAAAGCACGCCCAUCAACGCACUUUGCUCAGCUUUAGGGAAGUCGGCUACGCUGCACAGGUCACAGGACUUCUGGAAAUCAACAUUGUCACCAAAGAAGUGUGUUUUUGGUUGUCAGAGGCAAGACAACACUGUACAGCUUCCCAAAGAACCCAGCGUUAAGGGAACAGUGGAAGGAGUUUGAUUUUCCGGAGCAGAACGUUUUUUUUGUGUAUUCCCUGCAUUUCAGCGAUGAUUGUUUUAUAAACAAAGCCCAGUUCAACUCCGGAUUUGCAGAUCAUCUAAUGCUGAUGAAGAUGAAGCGGUCCCAGCGAUAAAGGUUCAUGGUCAUGUGUUGGAACCGCAGGCGGUACCAUGGUCCUGUAUAAAGUGGAGAAGCUGCUCAUGAACUCAUGACUUCUCUGCGAUGUGGAAAAGCUGAGCCACCAAUAUCAGACUUCAGCUCUUGAGGCAUUCCACAGUGUCAUUCUGAGAUUCGCCCUGAAGAAUGUUGUUUUUCCUUUUAUUGGAAUGCUAUGCAGGCUAUAUCUUGCAGCAAUGCAUUUCAAUGAGAAUGCUGAUCGUGAACAGCACAGGCGGACUGGCCAUCUGGCAUACCGGGCACUUUCCCGGUGGGCCGACUGCAAAAAAAAUAAAAUAAAUAAAUAAAUAAAUUCUCUCGGCCCAUGAACAGGCCCAUAAAAGUGGUAGGCCUAGAUCAGCGGCCCAAUGUUUUUUCAACUGACACUGGGCUGUUGGCUCAAAACACUUUAGUCAAAAAUAUCACAUAGGCUAGGUUUUUUUCCUUCUGACAGACACGGCCCAUGAAACGCGUAGCUCAGCUGGUUGUUUUCUUGAUUGACACUGGACUGGCCCAAUCAUAUCUUUGAACAGCACCAUCUAUGGGAUUUCUGCCUGCACGCAGUUUCAGUGUGAUCAUGGAGAAGAAACGCAAAGAAGGUGCAGAGAGGCUGCGUGAGAGAAAAAAAUAGGCUCUUCAGGCAGACGCUGCCAAAUGUGUCAAAUUGACACAAAUGUUUUCGGCAGUAGCAGAAAAAGUGUACAAGCAAUAGGGAUAACCGCUCCCUGGAGAGGAUUGUGAAACAAAACCCAUUCAAAAAUGUGGGGGAGAUUCACAAAGAGUGGACUGCAGCUGGAGUCAGUGCUUCAAGAAC
Long non-coding RNA from Megalobrama amblycephala (Wuchang bream), 1411 nucleotides. RefSeq lists it as uncharacterized. The record is from RefSeq and is a predicted model, not a curated record. The transcript has 3 exons. Lineage: Eukaryota; Metazoa; Chordata; Actinopteri; Cypriniformes; Xenocyprididae.